CCUACGGGGGGCAGCAGUGAGGAAUAUUGGUCAAUGGGCGGGAGCCUGAACCAGCCAAGCAGCGUGAAGGAGGAAGGCCCUGAGGGUUGUAAACUUCUUUUAUCAGGGAAUAAAGUGAGGCACGCGUGCCUGUUUGUAUGUACUUUAUGAAUAAGGAUCGGCUAACUCCGUGCCAGCAGCCGCGGUAAUACGGAGGAUCCGAGCGUUAUCCGGAUUUAUUGGGUUUAAAGGGAGCGGAGAUGGGUUGUUAAGUCAGUUGUGAAAGUGUGGGGCUCAACCGUAGAAUUGCCGUUGAUACUGGCAGUCUUGAGUACGGUUGAGGUAGGCGGAAUUCGUGGUGUAGCGGUGAAAUGCUUAGAUAUCACGAAGAACUCCGAUUGCGAAGGCAGCUUACUAGCCUGCCACUGACGUUGAUGCUCGAAAGUGUGGGUAUCAAACAGGAUUAGAUACCCGGGUAGUC
This 460-nucleotide ribosomal RNA is filed under the name uncultured bacterium. RNAcentral describes it as "partial 16S ribosomal RNA". It matches the Rfam family "Bacterial small subunit ribosomal RNA", at positions 338 to 795 of the family's 1533-position model. The record is from RNAcentral.